UACAGGGGGUGCAAACGUUGCUCGGAAUCAUUGGGCGUAAAGCGCACGUAGGCGGUUCGUUAUGUCGGAUGUGAAAGCCCUUGGCUUAACCGAGGAAGUGCAUCCGAAACUGGCGAGCUAGAGUACGAAAGAGGAUCGCGGAAUUCCCGGUGUAGAGGUGAAAUUCGUAGAUAUCGGGAGGAACACCGGUGGCGAAGGCGGCGAUCUGGGUCGAUACUGACGCUGAGGUGCGAAAGCGUGGGGAGCGAACCGG
This 253-nucleotide ribosomal RNA is filed under the name uncultured bacterium. Its description in RNAcentral is "partial 16S ribosomal RNA". It matches the Rfam family "Bacterial small subunit ribosomal RNA", at positions 524 to 776 of the family's 1533-position model. The record is from RNAcentral.